Molecule: ribosomal RNA, 406 nt
Filed under: Pseudomonas sp. R-38083
Lineage: Bacteria; Pseudomonadati; Pseudomonadota; Gammaproteobacteria; Pseudomonadales; Pseudomonadaceae
Also listed under: 1 other name
Description: bacterial SSU rRNA
Rfam family: Bacterial small subunit ribosomal RNA
Source: RNAcentral
GGCUCAGAUUGAACGCUGGCGGCAGGCCUAACACAUGCAAGUCGAGCGGUAGAGAGAAGCUUGCUUCUCUUGAGAGCGGCGGACGGGUGAGUAAUGCCUAGGAAUCUGCCUGGUAGUGGGGGAUAACGUUCGGAAACGGRCGCUAAUACCGCAUACGUCCUACGGGAGAAAGCAGGGGACCUUCGGGCCUUGCGCUAUCAGAUGAGCCUAGGUCGGAUUAGCUAGUUGGUGAGGUAAUGGCUCACCAAGGCGACGAUCCGUAACUGGUCUGAGAGGAUGAUCAGUCACACUGGAACUGAGACACGGUCCAGACUCCUACGGGAGGCAGCAGUGGGGAAUAUUGGACAAUGGGCGAAAGCCUGAUCCAGCCAUGCCGCGUGUGUGAAGAAGGUCUUCGGAUUGUAAA